GGGUGCGAUUAUACCAGCACUAAUAUACCAGAUCCCAUCACAACUCUGUAAUUAAGCGUGCUUGGGAGAGAGUAGUCCUAGGAUGGGUGACUUGUGGGAAGUCCUCGUGUUGCACCCC
This is a non-coding RNA of Beta vulgaris subsp. vulgaris (sugar beet), 118 nucleotides long. Lineage: Eukaryota; Viridiplantae; Streptophyta; Magnoliopsida; Caryophyllales; Amaranthaceae. The record is from Rfam.